RNAcentral lists this ribosomal RNA (484 nucleotides) under uncultured bacterium. RNAcentral describes it as "partial 16S ribosomal RNA". It matches the Rfam family "Bacterial small subunit ribosomal RNA", at positions 30 to 507 of the family's 1533-position model. The record is from RNAcentral.
AUUGAACGCUGGCGGCAGGCCUAACACAUGCAAGUCGAGCGGAUGAAGGGAGCUUGCUCCUGGAUUCAGCUGCCGACGGGUGGGUAAUGCCUAGGAAUCUGCCUGAUAGUGGGGGAUAACGUCCGGUAACGGGCGCUAAUACCGCAUACGUCCUGAGUGAGAAAGUGGGGGAUCUUCGGACCUCACGCUAUCAGAUGAGCCUAGGUCGGAUUAGCUAGUUGGUGUGGUAAAGGCCUACCAAGGCGACGAUCCGUAACUGGUCUGAGAGGAUGAUCAGUCACACUGGAACUGAGACACGGUCCAGACUCCUACGGGAGGCAGCAGUGGGGAAUAUUGGACAAUGGGCGAAAGCCUGAUCCAGCCAUGCCGCGUGUGUGAAGAAGGUCUUCGGAUCGUAAAACACUUUAAGUUGGGAGGAAGGGAAGUAAGUUAAAACCUUGCUGUCUUGACGGUACCAACAGAAAAAGCACCGGCUAACUUCGUG